GGCCUCCCAGUGCUCACCACAGGCUGUGUUCCCACACUGCCUGUACAGACAGAGGACGCAGAGCGAACCCACCCCACGCGCCUCGGCCCCGGCCCUUUGCCUGGUCUCUAUUGUGAAUGGGGGGAAAACA
This is a small nucleolar RNA of Artibeus jamaicensis (Jamaican fruit-eating bat), 130 nucleotides long. RefSeq annotates it as small nucleolar RNA SNORA51. The record is from RefSeq and is a predicted model, not a curated record. The transcript has a single exon. Lineage: Eukaryota; Metazoa; Chordata; Mammalia; Chiroptera; Phyllostomidae.